GGGGCCAUAGCUCAGCUGGGAGAGCGCUACGCUGGCAGCGUAGAGGUCAGGGGUUCGAGCCCCCUUGGCUCCA
Molecule: transfer RNA, 73 nt
Organism: Bacillus subtilis subsp. subtilis str. 168
Lineage: Bacteria; Bacillati; Bacillota; Bacilli; Caryophanales; Bacillaceae
Rfam family: tRNA
About the family: Transfer RNA (tRNA) molecules are approximately 80 nucleotides in length. Their secondary structure includes four short double-helical elements and three loops (D, anti-codon, and T loops). Further hydrogen bonds mediate the characteristic L-shaped molecular structure. tRNAs have two regions of fundamental functional importance: the anti-codon, which is responsible for specific mRNA codon recognition, and the 3' end, to which the tRNAs corresponding amino acid is attached (by aminoacyl-tRNA synthetases). tRNAs cope with the degeneracy of the genetic code in two manners: having more than one tRNA (with a specific anti-codon) for a particular amino acid; and 'wobble' base-pairing, i.e. permitting non-standard base-pairing at the 3rd anti-codon position.
Source: Rfam